UGCUUUUGUAGCAAUACGAGAGUAUCCUAGUGGCGAACGGGUGAGUAACGCGUUGGUGACCUACCCCAAAGUGUGGGAUAACAGUCCGAAAGGAUUGCUAAUACCGCAUGUGGUUAUUGGAUUUGGAAACUGAUAACUAAAGGAGCAAUUCGCUUUGGGAGGGACCUGCGUCCCAUCAGCUAGUUGGUGAGGUAAUGGCUCACCAAGGCUACGACGGGUAGGGGACCUGAGAGGGUGACCCCCCACAAUGGAACUGAAACACGGUCCAUACACCUACGGGUGGCAGCAGUAGGGAAUAUUGCACAAUGGGCGAAAGCCUGAUGCAGCAACGCCGCGUGUGCGAUGAAGGCCUUCGGG
RNAcentral lists this ribosomal RNA (357 nucleotides) under uncultured bacterium. Its description in RNAcentral is "bacterial SSU rRNA". It matches the Rfam family "Bacterial small subunit ribosomal RNA", at positions 69 to 422 of the family's 1533-position model. The record is from RNAcentral.